AGGAAAAACAUCUGCCACACGUACAAGAGAAAUGAAAGAAAUUGGAAAAAGAAAAAGCUUUUAUAUGAAAUUCAGCAGCUGGUAACUAAAAUGAACUUCUGGAUGUAAUAUAUAGUUGGGAUUAUGCAUAAUUUACUUACUUUAAGAUUUAAAAGAGACGUUUGGCAAGCUUCAUUAGCUUGUUAGAUGAUUUUAAAGACAAAUUUAGAAUUUUGAAAGAAAUUUAGGUACAAACUUUGUAGAUCGUCCAGUUUUACUGAAUAUCUUUCAAUAUGACUAUCCAAAAGAAAUUUUAGUCAUUUUAUCUUAAAAAAUAAAUAAAAUUUAACACUGAAAAAUGAAUGGUGGAGUGAUCCCAGUACGUCUUGCAAAAGAAUUAGGUUAACUUUCUAAGAAAUCAGGAAGCUUUCUAUGCUUUGAUUUGGAGAAAUAUGCCUGCAGACAGAACAAACGAAUAUCCCUUCAAGACGUAUACGGAAGAAGAAAUUAAUGAUGUGAUAGUUUAAGCAGCUUGUUAGAAUCGCGCAUGCACGUGCUUGGUGAUCUUUGAAGCUAUCACCUCAAUUUGCAAUUAUUUUUACUGAUUCUCUCUUCUCUCUACUGGUUUGCGGUCAUUUUCUUCAUGAAAACUCAUCAUCGGAAACUCAUUCGUCACUCUUUCCGAUUGGAUAUCCGCCAUUUUAGAAUGGUUCAUGGCUUCGCACCGGAUGGAUGUUGGGAUCACAGGUGGGCGUCACGUGACGAUUGUUGUGUAGAAUAGGAAAGUGGGUCACGUGCGGCACCCGGAACGUCGAUUAAUCCACAAACAAAAAGAGAGAGGAGGAAGAAUAGCUAGUGUUUAUUUCUAGCGAUCUUGGAGGAAAGUGCACUUUUCCUCUUCCGUCUAUUUUAGGAGCUCUUGAUAGAAUAUUGCGGACAUUUAAGUGGCCGAAUUGGCAAAAACUGAUUAUUUUACAUCCUCGGAUAAUUCCUCGAUUCCGAUAGCUUCUUCCGACGCACGCUUUUUCGCGCUUCAUCGGAUGGUUAAGUUUUCGCCAAACUUUCGGAAACGAAUGAUUUGUGAAUGAUUCUCUGUUAAGUAGGCCACGAGAUCGAGCCAUUCUGACUUAAUUAUGCUUUGAUUGAAAAAAGACCUAAUACUUGUGCUGUUUUUGAAAGAAAUAUCAAGAAGUGAGAAAUUAUGGGACGAACUAAUUAAUAAGUACUAAAUUAUAAAAUUGAUGGGAACAUCAAAGCACUGAUUCUUGAUAUUCUCAGUAAACAGUGCAAAACACCUUAAACCGCUGCAGAUAUUAUUGAAUGCCUUAAUAAUCCCAUUAGUUAUAAAUAAAUAUCACUAGAAGUUAUUUACAAGAUAGCAUAGUCCACAUCAUAAUGGAUAAAGGAAUAAUUCAACAUAAUCUUGAAAGAGGGUGCCCAGAGGAUUCAUACGUUGGUCCCACUCUAUGAAAUUUAGUUGCCAACACACCUUUCCUGUAUUUUAACAACUUGGAACACGUAAACUUGCAAGCAUUUGCUGGUGGUUUUCUGCUGGUGGUAGCUGGAAGAAAAGCCAUUGAAACAAGAACACAGGAUUAAAUUGACAUUUUUGCAAAAUGGGUAAAAGAACAUAAACUUCAAAUUUUCCUAGCCAAGAGAAAAAUCUAGCCAAUUGAUAGAAAGGGAAUUCUGAGAAAGAAACUAUCAGUACAACACUGUGAUACUCCUAUUAAAUGCUUCGCAGACCUCAAAUACUUAGGUUAUUAUAAGUCAACAGUUUAAUAAAUUGUAUGAAAUCAACAUGCGAGGUUUACAUUUUUGUCAAAGGGGAGCAUUCGUUAAAGAAAGUUUUGUUGCAAUCAGGAAAGAUACUUUUCCAAUCAUUUUAAAAUUUUGAUAAAAGUUGACUUUGGAUUCAAUAUUUUGAAAUUAAUCAAUUAUCAAGCACUGUGAUUUAAAUUAAAUAAUACUAUUGUACAAAAUAUUUUUAAUUAUUUUUCGAUCAGUUAAGAUUUAUUUAGUUGAAAUUCUUUAAUUCUGACGAGCAGUGUAUUUUUGAAUUGUCAUAAUGAAUUAACUAGUUUUGAAUUUCUAUAUUGGAGUAAUUGAUUUUAAAUAUAUUAUUAUAUUAUAUAUUAUUAUAUUAUUUGCAUCUUAGCAUGUUUAUGAUUGUAUUUAAGUCUCUUUUAUAUUAGUUUAUAUUGAAAUAAUUGACACUGAUUGAAAUAAAAAUACACCAAUCAUCGGUGAAUAAAACGUCUGAAAUUAAGGUUAAUGAAUAAAGAUUGUUUCUUUGAAUCUAGUUAUGGAAAUACGUUUUUAAUUAUGUUCAGAUACAUUACAACUAAUUAAAUCAAAUAUAUAAGUGUAAUUUUCAUAAAAUUAAACAAGUUCAUGUAUGAUAUCAAAUACCCGAAUCAUCAUCGAGUAUUGUUCAUAAAAUAUAUGUGUACCUUUGUUAAAUUUUGCGCUCUUUCUUAUUCAGCGACGAACACUCAACGUUUUACCAGAAAUACUAACUGUUGCCUGUUACUUUAGAAUAGGCAUUUCAAGGCCAUUUUCCCAAAACCAUGCCUCAUAACCAUGGAAGAUGGAAUCCUUUAAUUUGCUAAAAUCCCCUAAGACCUUUAUAAGGUGAUGACGACAUGUGUUACAAUUGUUAACGAAGAGAGCAACCCUAAAAUGUCUAUUUUAAAAUCACAAGUUACCUAAUAACAAGUUACCACAAACUCUAAAAAAUUACCUAAUUUAUGUUUUUUUGUAUAGCAUAAUACCAUUAUAUAAGUAUGGACUUCCAGUUUUACAUUACAAAAGUAUUAA
RNAcentral lists this unclassified non-coding RNA (2799 nucleotides) under Stegodyphus dumicola. Its description in RNAcentral is "homeobox protein 2-like, transcript variant X2". The record is from RNAcentral. Lineage: Eukaryota; Metazoa; Arthropoda; Arachnida; Araneae; Eresidae.